GACGAACGCUGGCGGCGUGCUUAACACAUGCAAGUCGAACGGAAAGGCCCUGCUUUUGUGGGGUGCUCGAGUGGCGAACGGGUGAGUAACACGUGAGUAACCUGCCCUUGACUUUGGGAUAACUUCAGGAAACUGGGGCUAAUACCGGAUAGGAGCUCCUGCUGCAUGGUGGGGGUUGGAAAGUUUCGGCGGUUGGGGAUGGACUCGCGGCUUAUCAGCUUGUUGGUGGGGUAGUGGCUUACCAAGGCUUUGACGGGUAGCCGGCCUGAGAGGGUGACCGGCCACAUUGGGACUGAGAUACGGCCCAGACUCCUACGGGAGGCAGCAGUGGGGAAUAUUGCACAAUGGGCGGAAGCCUGAUGCAGCAACGCCGCGUGCGGGAUGACGGCCUUCGGGUUGUAAACCGAUUUCGCCGGUGACGAAGAGUGAGUGACGGUAAUGGGUAAAGAAGCACCGGCUAACUACGUG
This 468-nucleotide ribosomal RNA is filed under the name uncultured bacterium. Its description in RNAcentral is "partial 16S ribosomal RNA". It matches the Rfam family "Bacterial small subunit ribosomal RNA", at positions 28 to 507 of the family's 1533-position model. The record is from RNAcentral.